Molecule: non-coding RNA, 600 nt
Organism: Equus caballus (horse)
Lineage: Eukaryota; Metazoa; Chordata; Mammalia; Perissodactyla; Equidae
Source: RefSeq, a predicted model, not a curated record
AAUUAAAAGCAUAUAUGAUCAGACUCCAAGUGACUUCAUAGAGUUACACUCUUGUUUGCAAUUAGUUACAAGUAGUCUUCAAGUGGUAAACUGGUUGAACCCUAAAAAAUUAUGUGGAUGUUAGUUAUUUGGAAACUAGUAUUUUAAUCUUCCCUAGAAAUAGGGCUUUCUAUAGUUGUAACGAAGAUCUUCGGCCGGUCUAAAAGCCUAAUGAAUGAAGAUAUUGAAAUACAAUUCUUCACUACUGAACCUUACUCUCACGUGUAAUUGCAUCGAGGUUGAAUUUAGCUCAAAAUUCAACUCCAGGUUGUAGGCACACAUUUCCCCAGCUCCUCCUAAUUUCCUGAUCCUCAACACCCUCCACCACAUCCUGACCCUUCAUGUAUCAUGUAUGUCUUUUCUGUUCCUCAUACAGGGUUCAGAUGAUUGCAGGUCUGAGGCACGGGCUCCCUCCAAUAUGACGGUGGCUUGGCAUUCGGGACACCAGCUUCAGAUGGUGGCAGAGCUCUGGAGGCUGAGGAAAGGAGCCGAGUCCUUUCAGAAAACGUUAUCUGGUUAUAUUAUCCAAAAUCAAGACUUUUCACCUCAAAACUGGCUUGG